UCAUAAGGUGCAGUGGUCCAAUAUCCAUGUCACACAUGCAGUUGGAGAGAACAAGGUCCCCCACAAAGGAAAAAAAGCAUACAGUUGGAGAGAAGUUCAAGAAAACUGUUUCUCUUUUAAUCUUUAUUACUCCCUAUGAUACCUUGUGUCGUACGUUUACAAGGAGUUCAGACCAGCACUUCGACGAUGUUAUAAAAUUGGUUUCGGCAAAUCGGGGUAGCUAGAGAAAUGUUGACAAACGACAGAGCAAGACAAGCAUGCCAACCGAUGAUCAACCGCGAUGGAUGGAUGGAUGAUGAGAUCAGUGAUGCUGGGGGUUAGAGCCCCCGGGACUGAGCCGCUUCGACCUAUCAUACGAUAUGUCUGGCGUGUCACGCGGCCACGUCCCUGCCGUGCUCGCCGGCGCCGGCGGGCUGCUGCCGAUGACCACAACGUCCUGCAGCCCACGCCGGCCCAGCAGAGUCAGUGGACGGUCGCCAGAGAGUGGGACGGGAGACGAGGCGACGCCCACGGCGAGAACGACUAGGACACACAAGCACAUCAGUAGUUUCAUGGCUAAUGCAGCUCUGUGUCUAGCUUAGCUUUCCGUGAGAAUUGGGCUAAUGCAGCUCCGUG
Molecule: long non-coding RNA, 615 nt
Filed under: Brachypodium distachyon (stiff brome)
Lineage: Eukaryota; Viridiplantae; Streptophyta; Magnoliopsida; Poales; Poaceae
Description: long non-coding RNA (BDIS_LNC000676)
Source: RNAcentral